UNAACGCUGGCGGCGUGCUUAACACAUGCAAGUCGAACGAGAACGGAUUAUAGCUUGCUAUAAUUGUCAGCUAAGUGGCGCACGGGUGAGUAAUAUAUAGGUAACGUGCCCCAAAGAAGAGGAUAACAGUUGGAAACGAUUGCUAAGACUCUAUAUGCCUUUAUGACAUAAGUCAGCAAGGGAAAUAUUUAUAGCUUUGGGAUCGGCCUGUACAGUAUCAGUUAGUUGGUGAGGUAAUGGCUCACCAAGACAAUGACGCUUAACUGGUUUGAGAGGAUGAUCAGUCACACUGGAACUGAGACACGGUCCAGACUCCUACGGGAGGCAGCAGUGGGGAAUAUUGCACAAUGGACGAAAGUCUGAUGCAGCAACGCCGCGUGGAGGAUGACACAUUUCGGUGCGUAAACUCCUUUUAUAUAGGAAGAUAAUGACGGUACUAUAUGAAUAAGCACCGGCUAACUCCGUG
Molecule: ribosomal RNA, 466 nt
Filed under: uncultured bacterium
Lineage: Bacteria
Description: bacterial SSU rRNA
Rfam family: Bacterial small subunit ribosomal RNA
Source: RNAcentral